AGAGUUGAUCCUGGCUAGGACGAACGCUGGCGGCGUGCCUAACACAUGCAAGUCGAACGGAGCGAAAGAAGCUUGCUUCUGGCGCUUAGUGGCGGACGGGUGAGUAACACGUGAGUAACCUGCCUUCAGAGGGGAAUAAUGUCUGGAAACGGACACUAAUACCGCAUAAUGUAUUAAUUCGCAUGAAUCGGAUACCAAAGGAGCAAUCCGCUGAAAGAUGGACUCGCGUCUGAUUAGCCAGUUGGCGGGUAACGGCCACCAAAGCGACGAUCAGUAGCCGGACUGAGAGGUUGAACGGCCACAUUGGGACUGAGACACGGCCCAGACUCCUACGGGAGGCAGCAGUGGGGGGAUAUUGCACAAUGGGCGCAAGCCUGAUGCAGCCAACGCCGCGUGCAGGAAGACGGUCUUCGGAUUGUAAACUGUUGUCCUCUGUGACGAUAAUGACGGUAGCAGAGGAGGAAGCCACGGCUAACUACGUGCCAGCCGCCGC
RNAcentral lists this ribosomal RNA (493 nucleotides) under uncultured bacterium. RNAcentral's name for it is "bacterial SSU rRNA". It matches the Rfam family "Bacterial small subunit ribosomal RNA", at positions 9 to 518 of the family's 1533-position model. The record is from RNAcentral.